CACGCCUCAGAGACGGGAGGUGGAGCUCUGUUGAUCAGCGCUGAUGUUCUUUUGAUAUAUAUGGAGAAAGUGAAAGACGCCUCGUCUGAUUUGUUAUUGAGGCUGUGUGAUGAUUUCCUCUCGUCUUUCUAAUAAGCAGCUGACAGUGUGAGGUUGGUGAAUGGUGGAAGUCGCUGUGCUGGGAGAGUGGAGGUUCUUCAUGAAGGACAGUGGGGAACAGUGUGUGGUUAUAACUGGGAUAUGAGAGAUGCUGCAGUGGUGUGUGGAGAACUGCACUGUGGAGAAGCUGUAGAUGCACCACCAUACGGUCACUUUGGACCAGGAUCAGGAACAAUCUGGAUGGAUGAUGUGGGCUGUAGAGGAUCAGAGUCGACACUGAAGGACUGUAGAUCAGGAGGGUGGGGAAACAUUACUGUAAUCAUGGUGAUGAUGCUGGAGUCACCUGCUCAGGUCAGAAUUCCAGACUUACUGCUGGUCCUCACCGAUGUUCUGGAAGAUUGGAGGUGUUUCAUGGAGGUUCCUGGUCCACAGUGUGUGAUGUUGACAAGCAGGAUGCAGAUGUUUUUUGUCGAGAGCAGGACUGUGGGAUUCCUGUGAAGGUUCUGGAAUCAGCUGCUUUUGUUUGAGGGGAGGGUUAGGUGUGGACAGAGGAGCUUCAGUGUAGAGGAAAUGAAUCUGAAAUUACCCUCUGUCCAUCAUCAUCUUCACUCAAACACUCAAACUGCUCCCAUCACAAUGAUGUGGGAUUAAUAUGUUCUGGUCACACAGAGGCUCGGCUGGUGAACGGAUCAGACUCCUGUUCUGGUCGAGUGGAGCUCCAGUACCUCAGUGAGUGGGGCACAGUUUGUGCUGUAGGCUGGGAUAUGAGAGCUGCAGAUGUUCUCUGUGCACAGCUGGAUUGUGGGAGUGCUGUGGCUGUGGUGGAGGUGGACUGGUUUG
This is a long non-coding RNA of Silurus meridionalis, 939 nucleotides long. RefSeq lists it as uncharacterized. The record is from RefSeq and is a predicted model, not a curated record. The transcript has 5 exons. NCBI's taxonomy places the organism in Eukaryota, Metazoa, Chordata, Actinopteri, Siluriformes, Siluridae.